Molecule: ribosomal RNA, 505 nt
Filed under: uncultured Burkholderia sp.
Lineage: Bacteria; Pseudomonadati; Pseudomonadota; Betaproteobacteria; Burkholderiales; Burkholderiaceae
Description: bacterial SSU rRNA
Rfam family: Bacterial small subunit ribosomal RNA
Source: RNAcentral
CGAACGGGUGAGUAAUACAUCGUGAACGUGUCCUGGAGUGGGGGAUAGCCCGGCGAAACCCGGAUUAAUACCGCAUACGCUCUGUGGAGGAAAGCGGGGGAUCUUUCGGGACCUCGCGCUCAAGGGGCGGCCGAUGGCAGAUUAGGUAGUUGGUGGGGUAAAGGCCUACCAAGCCGACGAUCUGUAGCUGGUCUGAGAGGACGACCAGCCACACUGGGACUGAGACACGGCCCAGACUCCUACGGGAGGCAGCAGUGGGGAAUUUUGGACAAUGGGCGCAAGCCUGAUCCAGCAAUGCCGCGUGUGUGAAGAAGGCCUUCGGGUUGUAAAGCACUUUUGUCCGGAAAGAAAACCUCGUGGCUAAUAUCCGUGAGGGAUGACGGUACCGGAAGAAUAAGCACCGGCUAACUACGUGCCAGCAGCCGCGGUAAUACGUAGGGUGCGAGCGUUAAUCGGAAUUACUGGGCGUAAAGCGUGCGCAGGCGGUGAUGUAAGACCGAUGUGA